This 90-nucleotide unclassified non-coding RNA is filed under the name Pseudomonas cedrina. Lineage: Bacteria; Pseudomonadati; Pseudomonadota; Gammaproteobacteria; Pseudomonadales; Pseudomonadaceae. The record is from RNAcentral.
UGUGGGAGCUGGCUUGCCUGCGAUGGCGGUGGGUCAAUCAAUGAAUGUGGCAGCUGACGGAUCGCCAUCGCAGGCAAGCCAGCUCCCACA